GGUGAGUAACACGUGAGUAACCUGCCCCCGACUUUGGGAUAAGCCCGGGAAACUGGGUCUAAUACCGGAUAUGACUUCUUACCGCAUGGUGGGUUGUUGAAAGAUUUAUCGGUGGGGGAUGGACUCGCGGCCUAUCAGCUUGUUGGUGAGGUAAUGGCUCACCAAGGCGACGACGGGUAGCCGGCCUGAGAGGGUGACCGGCCACACUGGGACUGAGACACGGCCCAGACUCCUACGGGAGGCAGCAGUGGGGAAUAUUGCACAAUGGGCGAAAGCUGAUGCAGCGACGCCGCGUGAGGGAUGACGGCCUUCGGGUUGUAAACCUCUUUCAGUAGGGAAGAAGCGAAAGUGACGGUACCUGCAGAAGAAGCGCCGGCUAACUACGUGCCAGCAGCCGCGGUAAUACGUAGGGCGCAAGCGUUAUCCGGAUUUAUUGGGCGUAAAGAGCUCGUAGGCGGUUUGUCGCGUCUGCCGUGAAAGUCCGAGGCUCAACCUCGGAUCUGCGGUGGGUACGGGCAGACUAGAGUGAUGUAGGGGAGACUGGAAUUCCUGGUGUAGCGGUGAAAUGCGCAGAUAUCAGGAGGAACACCGAUGGCGAAGGCAGGUCUCUGGGCAUUUACUGACGCUGAGGAGCGAAAGCAUGGGGAGCGAACAGGAUUAGAUACCCUGGUAGUCCAUGCCGUAAACGUUGGGCACUAGGUGUGGGGGACAUUCCACGUUUUCCGCGCCGUAGCUAACGCAUUAAGUGCCCCGCCUGGGGAGUACGGCCGCAAGCUAAAACUCAAAGGAAUUGACGGGGGCCCGCACAAGCGGCGGAGCAUGCGGAUUAAUUCGAUGCAACGCGAAGAACCUUACCAAGGCUUGACAUGUGCCAGACCGCCUCAGAGAUGGGGUUUCCUUCGGGGCUGGUUCACAGGUGGUGCAUGGUUGUCGUCAGCUCGUGUCGUGAGAUGUUGGGUUAAGUCCCGCAACGAGCGCAACCCUCGUUCCAUGUUGCCAGCACGUAGUGGUGGGGACUCAUGGGAGACUGCCGGGGUCAACUCGGAGGAAGGUGGGGAUGACGUCAAAUCAUCAUGCCCCUUAUGUCUUGGGCUUCACGCAUGCUACAAUGGCCGGUACAAUGGGUUGCGAUACUGUGAGGUGGAGCUAAUCCCUAAAAGCCGGUCUCAGUUCGGAUUGGGGUCUGCACUCGACCCCAUGAAGUCGGAGUCGCUAGUAAUCGCAGAUCAGCAACGCUGCGGUGAAUACGUUCCCGGGCCUUGUACACACCGCCCGUCAAGUCACGAAGUUUGGUAACACCCGAAGCCGAUGGCCUAACCACCUUUGUGUGGGGGGAGUCGUCGAAGG
This 1347-nucleotide ribosomal RNA is filed under the name Arthrobacter sp. GWS-BW-H41M. RNAcentral describes it as "bacterial SSU rRNA". It matches the Rfam family "Bacterial small subunit ribosomal RNA", at positions 105 to 1462 of the family's 1533-position model. Lineage: Bacteria; Bacillati; Actinomycetota; Actinomycetes; Micrococcales; Micrococcaceae. The record is from RNAcentral.